Molecule: RNA transcript, 1260 nt
Organism: Cimex lectularius (bed bug)
Lineage: Eukaryota; Metazoa; Arthropoda; Insecta; Hemiptera; Cimicidae
Gene name: serine/arginine-rich splicing factor 7-like
Exons: 7
Source: RefSeq, a predicted model, not a curated record
UUAGGUUGUAGACGCCCUCGAGUAGACGCCAUACAGCGGCCUUUUGUUUUUCACCGGGAUUCAGGGGGCUGGCGUACGUUUGCGUUUUAUCGACUCGAACAUCUCAGAGAUGUCACGUUUCAGAGAUUCAAAUCCCGACUGUAAAAUCUACAUUGGCGAUUUAGGGAGUUCUGCUAAUAAACAAGACUUGGAGGAUGCAUUUUCCUAUUAUGGCCCGAUUAGGAGUGUUUGGAUUGCUAGAAAUCCACCCGGAUUUGCCUUUGUCGAGUUUGAUGAUGCCCGAGAUGCUGAAGACGCAGUUAGAGGGUUAGACGGAAGAAAUGUUUGUGGAAGGCGCGUUCGUGUUGAAAUGUCGAACGGCGCAAAGAGGCGAGGGAGUGUCAGAAGGGGAAGGCCUUUCCAUCCAGAGGAUAAAUGCUAUGAAUGUGGUGAGCGUGGUCACUAUGCAAGAGACUGUUCAAAGUAUAAUAAAAGAAGCAAGCGCAGGAAUAGCGGCUGAGCAUCUCUCGUGUGUUUGCAUAAGUCCUCAGCGUAGAAAUUGAUUGGUUUCUUCCUCCUUCUCUUCCCCAGUGUGUGGUUUGAUCACGCUUCUCUCCCAGUUUGUCGGCCCAUAACUCGAAAGAAAAAAACAUGAAAACGAACCCUGCCUUCAGCCAACUUCUACUUCAUCCCAUUUGGCGGCAUUCCACUCCUCAGCCUUUCCAAAUGCUAAAAUUUUACAGUCUUUUAAAUUUAAAACAAACAAAAUGGAAAUGGCUCUGGCCUGGAAGAGUGAAGUGAGAGAUUUCGAUGAAAGAAAAGAGCAAGACUCCGUUGAGAAGGUGACUGUUAAAAAUGCUUCACACCUUCAGAGCUCUUCAUAAAUCUACCUUCUUCUCUUCUACAUUCUCGCGACGAAUUUAAGACACACGAGUUCUCUCUCAGUAUCACACGACUUGUCAUAAAUAAAACCUACUCGCGAAGCAGAUCACGCUCAAGAUCUAGGGAUAGGAGAUCAAGGUCGCAUAGCCGUGGUGGAGGCACCGAACGAGAUCAUUCCCGCUCCCGCUCAAGGAAUAGAAGCAGGAGUCGUUCUCUCUCACGCUCCCGGAGCAGAGACUCUAGAGAGAAGAAUGGAACCAACUAAGAAGCAAAAAGACAAAAUUGUCAUAAUUUAUUCAUUAUUAUUUUAUAAAUAAUGACAAGCAAUUGAGUUCUGUUAUUAAGUUCUCUUUUCCUCUUUAUUUUAAUUAUAUAAUAGCACAAUUUUUUGACAAUAGA